RNAcentral lists this ribosomal RNA (880 nucleotides) under uncultured bacterium. RNAcentral describes it as "bacterial SSU rRNA". It matches the Rfam family "Bacterial small subunit ribosomal RNA", at positions 11 to 875 of the family's 1533-position model. The record is from RNAcentral.
GUUUGAUCAUGGCUCAGAACGAACGCUGGCGGCGCGUUUUAAGCAUGCAAGUCGGACGGUAAGCGAGGGGCAACUCUUGCUGAGAGUGGCGAACGGGUGAGUAACACGUAGACAAUCUGGCCCUGGGACAGGGAUAGCUCAUGGAAACAUGGGGUAGUACCUGGUGAGGUCGCGGAGACUGAGGUUUCUGCGAUGAGAGGCUUCAAUUGGAGCGCCUGGGGGUGAGUCCGCGGUCCAUUAGCUAGUUGGUGAGGUAACGGCCCACCAAGGCUUCGAUGGAUAGCCGGCCUGAGAGGGUGAACGGCCACACUGGGACUGAGACACGGCCCAGACUCCUACGGGAGGCAGCAGCUAAGAAUCUUCCGCAAUGGGCGCAAGCCUGACGGAGCGACGCCGCGUGGACGAUGAAGGCCGUAAGGUUGUAAAGUCCUUUUCUCUGUGAGGAAUGAGGGUGGGAGUGGAAAGCCCAUCUGAUGACGGUAACGGAGGAAUAAGCACCGGCUAACUACGUGCCAGCAGCCGCGGUAAUACGUAGGGUGCGAGCGUUGUUCGGAGUUAUUGGGCGUAAAGGGCGUGUAGGCGGCUUGAGAAGUCUGGUUUGAAAUGCACUGGCUCAACUGGUGCGCUGGGUCAGAAACUGGCAGGCUAGAGUUCAUGGGGAGGAGCUGGAAUUCCAGGUGUAGGGGUGAAAUCUGUAGAGAUCUGGAAGAACACCGGUAGCGAAGGCGGGCUCCUAUGGAUGGACUGACGCUGAGGCGCGAAAGCGUGGGGAGCAAACAGGAUUAGAUACCCUGGUAGUCCACGCUGUAAACGAUGUGCACUAGGUAUGGGGUACGAGACGUAUUCCGUGUCGGAGCGAACGCGUUAAGUGCACCGCCUG